UUGAGUGCAGAAAGAGGAGAGUGGAAUUUCCACGUGUAGCGGUGAAAUGCGUAGAGAUGUGGAGGAACACCAGUGGCGAAGGCGACUCUCUGGUCUGUAACUGACGCUGAGGAGCGAAAGCGUGGGGAGCGAACAGGAUUAGAUACCCUGGUAGUCCACGCCGUAAACGAUGAGUGCUAAGUGUUAGGGGGUUUCCGCCCCUUAGUGCUGCAGCUAACGCAUUAAGCACUCCGCCUGGGGAGUACGGUCGCAAGACUGAAACUCAAAGGAAUUGACGGGGGCCCGCACAAGCGGUGGAGCAUGUGGUUUAAUUCGAAGCAACGCGAAGAACCUUACCAGGUCUUGACAUCCUCUGACAAUCCUAGAGAUAGGACGUCCCCUUCGGGGGCACAGUGACAGGUGGUGCAUGGUUGUCGUCAGCUCGUGUCGUGAGAUGUUGGGUUAAGUCCCGCAACGAGCGCAACCCUUGAUCUUAGUUGCCAGCAUUCAGUUGGGCACUCUAAGGUGACUGCCGGUGACAAACCGGAGGAAGGUGGGGAUGACGUCAAAUCAUCAUGCCCCUUAUGACCUGUGCUACACACGUGCUACAAUGGACAGAACACAGGGCAGCGAAACCGCGAGGUUAAGCCAAUCUCACAAAUCUGUUCUCAGUUCGGAUCGCAGUCUGCAACUCGACUGCGUGAAACUGGAAUCGCUA
RNAcentral lists this ribosomal RNA (697 nucleotides) under Bacillus amyloliquefaciens. RNAcentral's name for it is "bacterial SSU rRNA". It matches the Rfam family "Bacterial small subunit ribosomal RNA", at positions 642 to 1337 of the family's 1533-position model. The record is from RNAcentral. Lineage: Bacteria; Bacillati; Bacillota; Bacilli; Caryophanales; Bacillaceae.